Molecule: non-coding RNA, 233 nt
Organism: Pelobates cultripes (western spadefoot toad)
Lineage: Eukaryota; Metazoa; Chordata; Amphibia; Anura; Pelobatidae
Source: the annotation of a GenBank genome assembly
UACAAGCAAAUUCAGAAUAAUACUUUUAUGUUUUUUUACGCUACCGCUAUAAUUUACGCUGCCGCUAUAAUUUCAAGAUCUUUAUUUCGCGGUUGAAAAAAAGCUUGGCGCUGUUUACUGAUACUUAGUAUCUUGUACUUAGUGCCACCACAGACACUUCUGCUUGGCUUUACAUCUGGGACAAUUUGACAUUUGCCUAUUAGCUGGGCCUUCUUAGAUUAUUUGACUCCUCC